This 253-nucleotide ribosomal RNA is filed under the name uncultured bacterium. RNAcentral's name for it is "partial 16S ribosomal RNA". It matches the Rfam family "Bacterial small subunit ribosomal RNA", at positions 524 to 776 of the family's 1533-position model. RNAcentral also lists the same sequence under 1 other name. The record is from RNAcentral.
UACAGAGGGUGCGAGCGUUAAUCGGAGUGACUGGGCGUAAAGGGCACGUAGGCGGUUUAUUUAGUCUGAUGUGAAAUAACUAGGCUUAACCUGGUAUGUGCAUUGGAAACGGAUAGGCUAGAGUAUUGGAGAGGGAAGUGGAAUUUCCGGUGUAGCGGUGAAAUGCGUAGAGAUCGGAAAGAACACUCGUGGCGAAGGCGACUUCCUGGCCAAAGACUGACGCUGAGGUGCGAAAGCGUGGGUAGCAAACAGG